UACGUAGGGGGCAAGCGUUGUCCGGAAUCAUUGGGCGUAAAGCGCGCGUAGGCGGCCCUGUAAGUCCGUUGUGAAAGUCAAAGGCUCAACCUUUGAAAGCCGAUGGAUACUGCAGGGCUAGAGUCCGGAAGAGGCGAGUGGAAUUCCUGGUGUAGCGGUGGAAUGCGCAGAUAUCAGGAGGAACACCAAUAGCGAAGGCAGCUCGCUGGGACGGUACUGACGCUAAGGCGCGAAAGCCAGGGGAGCGAACAGG
RNAcentral lists this ribosomal RNA (253 nucleotides) under uncultured bacterium. RNAcentral's name for it is "partial 16S ribosomal RNA". It matches the Rfam family "Bacterial small subunit ribosomal RNA", at positions 524 to 776 of the family's 1533-position model. The record is from RNAcentral.